GCCAGGCACACUCAGCCCCCCCCCCCCCCGCAGAGCAGGAGACACGUGUGUUGAGCACCCAGAGCUGCUUCAUUUGUGGGAGCCAUGAGAGUAACCAGGAUUUAUGGUUUUUUAGGGGGGGCAGGUCUCCCCCCUGUCCCCAUCCUCUGUCUGGCUCUGUCCAGCAGAUUCGGAAUGACGUGGGUCAGCAACAGUUGCUUCAAAUUACUUUCUUUUGACCCCAAUUGCUCAGAAAUUUUUUUCUACGAUUUGUAGUUUUGGGU
This is a non-coding RNA of Podarcis lilfordi (Lilford's wall lizard), 263 nucleotides long. The record is from the annotation of a GenBank genome assembly. Lineage: Eukaryota; Metazoa; Chordata; Lepidosauria; Squamata; Lacertidae.